GACGAACGCUGGCGGCGUGCUUAAUACAUGCCAGUCGAACGGAAAGGCCCUGCUUUUGUGGGGUGCUCGAGUGGCGAACGGGUGAGUAACACGUGAGUAACCUGCCCUUGUCUUUGGGAUAACUUCAGGAAAAUGGGGCUAAUACAGGAUAGGAGCUCCUGCUGCAUGGUGGGGGUUGGAAAGUUUCGGCCGUUGGGGAUGGACUCGCGGCUUAUCAGCUUGUUGGUGGGGUAGGGGCUUACCAAGGCUUUGACGGGUAGCCGGCCUGAGAGGGUGGCCAGCCACAAUGGGACUGCGGUACGGCGCAGUAUCCAACCGGAGGCAACAGUGGAGAGUAUUGCGGAGUAGGCGGGAGCCUGAUGCAGCGGCGCCGCGUGCGGGAUGACGGCCUACGGGUGGUAAACCACUUUCGCCUGUGACGAAGCGGGAUUGACGGUAAUGGGUAAAGAAGCACCGGCUAACUACGUG
RNAcentral lists this ribosomal RNA (468 nucleotides) under uncultured bacterium. Its description in RNAcentral is "partial 16S ribosomal RNA". It matches the Rfam family "Bacterial small subunit ribosomal RNA", at positions 28 to 507 of the family's 1533-position model. The record is from RNAcentral.